RNAcentral lists this ribosomal RNA (303 nucleotides) under Vibrio cholerae. RNAcentral describes it as "partial 16S ribosomal RNA". It matches the Rfam family "Bacterial small subunit ribosomal RNA", at positions 1 to 298 of the family's 1533-position model. Lineage: Bacteria; Pseudomonadati; Pseudomonadota; Gammaproteobacteria; Vibrionales; Vibrionaceae. The record is from RNAcentral.
UUAAUUGAAGAGUUUGAUCAUGGCUCAGAUUGAACGCUGGCGGCAGGCCUAACACAUGCAAGUCGAGCGGCAGCACAGAGGAACUUGUUCCUUGGGUGGCGAGCGGCGGACGGGUGAGUAAUGCCUGGGAAAUUGCCCGGUAGAGGGGGGAUAACCAUUGGAAACGAUGGCUAAUACCGCAUAACCUCGCAAGAGCAAAGCAGGGGACCUUCGGGCCUUGCGCUACCGGAUAUGCCCAGGUGGGAUUAGCUAGUUGGUGAGGUAAGGGCUCACCAAGGCGACGAUCCCUAGCUGGUCUGAGAG